RNAcentral lists this ribosomal RNA (465 nucleotides) under uncultured bacterium. RNAcentral's name for it is "partial 16S ribosomal RNA". It matches the Rfam family "Bacterial small subunit ribosomal RNA", at positions 28 to 507 of the family's 1533-position model. The record is from RNAcentral.
GACGAACGCUGGCGGCGUGCUUAACACAUGCAGGUCGUACGGUAAGGCCCUUUCGGGGGUACACGAGUGGCGAACGGGUGAGUAACACGUGAGUAACCUGCCCACAACUUUGGGAUAACGCUAGGAAACUGGUGCUAAUACUGGAUAUGUGCUCCUGCUGCAUGGUGGGGGUUGGAAAGCUCCGGCGGUUGUGGAUGGACUCGCGGCCUAUCAGCUUGUUGGUGGGGUAGUGGCCUACCAAGGCGGCGACGGGUAGCCGGCCUGAGAGGGUGACCGGCCACAUAGGGUCUGAGAUACGGCCCAGGUGCCUACGGGAGGCAGCAGUGGGGAAUAUUGCACAAUGGGCGCCGGCCGGAUGCAGAAGCGCCGCGUGCGGGAUGACGGCCUUCGGGUUGAAAACCGCUUUCAGCAGGGACGAAGCUUUUUGUGACGGUACCUGCAGAAGAAGCACCGGCUAACUACGUG